This 36-nucleotide ribosomal RNA is filed under the name Cladonia cariosa. RNAcentral's name for it is "partial 28S ribosomal RNA". Lineage: Eukaryota; Fungi; Ascomycota; Lecanoromycetes; Lecanorales; Cladoniaceae. The record is from RNAcentral.
CAGGUAGGGAUCCCGCUGAACUUAAGCAUAUCAAUA